RNAcentral lists this signal recognition particle RNA (117 nucleotides) under Nomascus leucogenys (northern white-cheeked gibbon). RNAcentral describes it as "Metazoan signal recognition particle RNA". It matches the Rfam family "Metazoan signal recognition particle RNA". From Rfam's summary of the family: The signal recognition particle (SRP) is a universally conserved ribonucleoprotein. The record is from Rfam by way of RNAcentral. Lineage: Eukaryota; Metazoa; Chordata; Mammalia; Primates; Hylobatidae.
GCCAGGCACGGUGGCUCGUGCCUGUAAUCCUAGCACUUUGGGAGGCUGAGACGGGUGGAUCACCUGAGGUCAGGAGUUCAAGUUUAGCCUGGCCAACAUGGUGAAACCCCGUCUCCA